GUCUGUUCUAACAGUAAUUCCAAAAGGGAGGAGGGCAUAAAGAGUCCUGUCCAGCUCCCCAUUCCCAUCACAGCCUAAACUAGUGUUUUCAGGUUAACUUUGGAAUGCCCUUGGCCAAGAGGAGGGCAGGUACUCAGAUGGUUCGGGGGACUUAGAAUUUUAUUUUUGGUUUUUAUUUUUGGUACAAAAGUAAUAUGAACUUGCUAUGGGAUAUACACCUCUUUAACAACACAACUCAAAGAGACACUUCAGAAGGCACAGAAGCAAGAAGGCUGGGCUUUUAGGAUGAUACAAAGAAGUGUUAAGAAGUUAAUUAGCACCUGCAUUCUAAAGAGCAGUCAGUUACAAUUUAGGACAGAUGGGGGUCAAGCACUGAAAAACAUUCAGAAGAGCCUGGGAAAUUGUGAAAGAUAACAGCUUAAACUUUAUUUUUGAAUCAGCAGCCUUGCCACUCUGGAAGGCAAUGCAGAUCCGGUUGACAUUCCAACACCAAAAUAGUCAUGUAAGACCCUGAAAUUGGCUUCAACACUGGGUUCCAUGAAUGCUAUGAUUUGCACCUGUUCCCUGUCAUCAUCCUCACAAACUGCUCUGUGCCCUGGUCUUGGCUGAACCUCUUUCAGCCCACCUGACCUUUCGGCAGGAAGUUCUUUUGCCUUUUUCCUAACUGCAAUUGAAAUCUUCAGAGAGAACGUUUCUCAUUUUCUUAGUUCUACCCUCCUUUCAUCUACUACAUAUUUGCUGAGAUGUCUGCCAUGCAUCCAGCCAGUCCUGUGAUAGGCCCCGAAAAACAACAAGGAACAAUAUAAGCACAAGUUUCACCUACAGAGACCUUAUGGGAGAGUAGAAAUAGCAAUACAGUAAUUAAUCAAUCAAUUAAUUGUAUGAAGGAAAAUCCAGAAGAAUAUGAGGUUUUUUGGGUUUUUUUUGUUCUGGUUUGGUUUGUUUUUUUUUGAGACAGAGUCUUGCUCUGUCACCCAGGCUGGAGUGCAGUGGUGCCAUCUCGGCUCACUGCAACCUCUGCCUUCUGGGUUCAAGCGAUUAUCCUGCCUCAGCCUCCUGAGUAGCUGGGACUACAGGCGCCCACCACCACGCCCUGCUAAUUUUUGUAUUUUUAGUAGAGACAGGGUUUCACCAUAUUGGCCAGGCUGGUCUUGAACUCCUGACCUUGUGAUCUGCCUGCCUUGGCAUCCCAAAGUGCUGGUAUUAUAGGUGUAAGCCACCGUGCCCG
Molecule: long non-coding RNA, 1228 nt
Filed under: Homo sapiens (human)
Lineage: Eukaryota; Metazoa; Chordata; Mammalia; Primates; Hominidae
Description: HSALNT0232097
Source: RNAcentral